AUGGCCUGGACUCCUCUCCUCCUCCUGCUCCUCUCUCACUGCACAGGGUCCUGGGCUCAGUCUGUGCUGAUGCAGCCGCCCUCAGUGUCUGGGGCUCCAGGGCAGAGGGUCACCAUCUCCUGCACUGGGAGCAGCUCCAACAUUGGGAGUUAUGAUGUAUACUGGUACCAGCAGCUCCCAGGAACAGCCCCUAAACUCCUCAUCUAUGACAAUAAUAAGCGACCCUCAGGGGUUUCUGACCGAUUCUCUGGCUCCAAGUCUGGUACCUCAGCCUCCUUGGCCAUCACUGGACUCCAGGCUGAGGAUGAGGCUGAUUAUUACUGUGAAGCAUGGGAUAGCAGCCUGAGUGCUCACACGGUGCUCCAGGCUCAGGGGGAAGCAGUGGUCCUGAUUGAAGAGGAAGUGUUUGUGGCCUGGAGAUGGCGUUCUCUAAUUUAUCAAAUGAAAGAUGGAUCAAAAGAACCAAUAGUGGACAUGAGAACAGAGGAUGAAAGAAUUACUAAUCACGAAGAUGGGAGCCCAGAAGAAAAUGGGAAAGAAGCUCUAAAUCCAGAAGCUAUAGAAAUUAAAGUUUCUAACGACAUCAUUCAAUCAAAAGAAGACGACAGCAAAGCAUAA
Pongo pygmaeus (Bornean orangutan) is the source of this 618-nucleotide non-coding RNA. The record is from the annotation of a RefSeq genome assembly. NCBI's taxonomy places the organism in Eukaryota, Metazoa, Chordata, Mammalia, Primates, Hominidae.